RNAcentral lists this ribosomal RNA (94 nucleotides) under Triticum aestivum (bread wheat). Lineage: Eukaryota; Viridiplantae; Streptophyta; Magnoliopsida; Poales; Poaceae. The record is from RNAcentral. RNAcentral also lists the same sequence under 1 other name.
GGAUGCGAUCAUACCAGCACUAAAGCACCGGAUCCCAUCAGAACUCCGAAGUUAAGCGUGCAUAUGUUUAGCACGUUUUACUAUUUUGCACGUU